UAGUUGCUUAUUCUUUGACUCUUGUCCAUCGAAAACCUAGAACAAUCGCAUUAAAAUAGUAUUCGCGUGGUAAAGCAAGCAAGUCCCAUACACAACAACACAAUUUCUUCAUAAGGGGUACAUCUAUAUUCUUGCAAAGACAGCAUUUCAACAUUAUUGUAAUUCAUCGAGAUAUUCAUUCAUCUUUCCUUGGUAUGAGAAGUUUGUGAGGAUUUUACUACCGCAAGCUCGGCAUGGGACGUUCAGGACUCAUAUAGACGAAAGUUUCGCGAUUCCCCAGACUCGUGCCCAAUAUAUCAGUAUUUGUUUAUCAUAUUCGUCUCGGUUCCAGUGUAAUCUUCUUCUUUACCACUUCAAAGAGAUCAUAGUGACGUCAUCGCAAUCAUGCCACUAUCAACGUUAGAGCUCAGGCCGAAAAUCGACUACAGCCAAAACACGUACGGCGACAAGAAAUACAACGUCAUGCACCUCAUCAGCCUUUACAACCAAGACCCCUCCCACUUGCCAUGGCAACAAUCAAAUGGGCGGACCCAAAUCACCCAAGUUCACAGCAUCAAGCUCCCCACCUUGAACUCUCAGGGCUUCGCCAAUCAGAGCGGGUCUUUCUACGCGUCAUCGUCGCAGCCACGCCUUAAUCUGCCGAGCGUUGGGCGUGGCAUGGCCCACAGUACGCUGGUUCCGUUUUCUUCAUACGGCAAACCGACGUGUGGGUAUUUCUUUACCAGAACGACGGAGAAUCGAAAAAUGAGGACGGGGAUUCCCCCGAAAUUUGGGUACCUGAACGUAACCGCACCGCGGAUGCGAUAACUCUGACAUUCUAAACACGCUAACCAGGGCCAAUGACAUUUAAGGAUACUUUUGACUUUGAUAUAGUUGAACUUUGACAUAUCAUCAACGAGCUAAUUGAUAUGGGAAAAGAAAUAAGACGGUUUACUAUAAAGUCUCAUUCUAUGCAUAAUCUUGAAAUCUUAGUGACAAGCUUGUUCUAGGCUUGCCCGAUGUAGCAACGAAUCGAUGAAGAAUUCAAGAUGAUUUGCAUCGCAAAGGUGCUAACGAUGAAAUUUAUGUUUGUAACGGGGUCUCUGUUGGGAA
Strongylocentrotus purpuratus (purple sea urchin) is the source of this 1092-nucleotide long non-coding RNA. RefSeq lists it as uncharacterized. The record is from RefSeq and is a predicted model, not a curated record. The transcript has 2 exons. Lineage: Eukaryota; Metazoa; Echinodermata; Echinoidea; Camarodonta; Strongylocentrotidae.